This 411-nucleotide ribosomal RNA is filed under the name uncultured microorganism. RNAcentral's name for it is "bacterial SSU rRNA". It matches the Rfam family "Bacterial small subunit ribosomal RNA", at positions 9 to 417 of the family's 1533-position model. The record is from RNAcentral.
GAGUUUGAUCUUGGCUCAGAUUGAACGCUGGCGGCAUGCCUUACACAUGCAAGUCGAACGGCAGCAUGAUCUAGCUUGCUAGAUUGAUGGCGAGUGGCGAACGGGUGAGUAAUACAUCGGAACGUGCCCUGUAGUGGGGGAUAACUAGUCGAAAGAUUAGCUAAUACCGCAUACGACCUGAGGGUGAAAGUGGGGGACCGCAAGGCCUCAUGCUAUAGGAGCGGCCGAUGUCUGAUUAGCUAGUUGGUGGGGUAAAGGCCCACCAAGGCGACGAUCAGUAGCUGGUCUGAGAGGACGAUCAGCCACACUGGGACUGAGACACGGCCCAGACUCCUACGGGAGGCAGCAGUGGGGAAUUUGGACAAUGGGCGAAAGCCUGAUCCAGCAAUGCCGCGUGUGUGAAGAAGGCCU